AGUGAACGCUGGCGGUAGGCCUAACACAUGCAAGUCGAACGGAAGCACAGUAAGAUCUUGCUCUUACGGGUGGCGAGUGGCGGACGGGUGACGAAUACAUCGGAAUCUACUUUUUCGUGGGGGAUAACGGAGGGAAACUUACGCUAAUACCGCAUACGACCUACCGGUGAAAGCAGGGGAUCUUCGGACCUUUCGCGAUUGAAUGAGCCGAUGUCGGAUUAGCUAGUUGGCGGGGUAAAGGCCCACCAAGGCGACGAUGCGUAGCUGGUCUGAGAGGAUGAUCGGCCACACUGGAACUGAGACACGGUCCAGACUCCUACGGGAGGCAGCAGUGGGGAAUAUUGGGCAAAGGGCGCAAGCCUGAUCCAGCCAUACUGCGUGGGUGAAGAAGGCCUUCGGGUUGUAAAGCCCUUUUGUUGGGAAAGAAAAGCAGCAGGUUAAUACCCCGCUGUUCUGACGGUACCCAAAGAAUAAGCACCGGCUAACUUCGUG
RNAcentral lists this ribosomal RNA (492 nucleotides) under uncultured bacterium. Its description in RNAcentral is "partial 16S ribosomal RNA". It matches the Rfam family "Bacterial small subunit ribosomal RNA", at positions 29 to 507 of the family's 1533-position model. The record is from RNAcentral.